AUGUUUCUGUUCAAGUUUAAAAGGAAGCAAUUUCCUGUAAGGCUUAGCUUUGCUAUGACCAUUAACAAGGCUCAAGGGCAGACCAUCCCGAUUGUUGGUGUCUACCUACCCAAUCCCGUGUUCUCUCAUGGUCAGCUCUAUGUUCCUCUGUCUCGAGCCACCGCGAAAAGAAAUAUAAAGAUACUCAUUCAGAAGGAGAAGCCGAAGGAGAAGGCCAACAAGCAAAAGGACAAUCCAAAGAAGCGAAAAAGACCGACCGUGUCCUUACUGACGUCGAUGAAGAACAUCGUCUACAAGGAAGUCCUUACAGGCUGA
RNAcentral lists this ribosomal RNA (315 nucleotides) under Triticum aestivum (bread wheat). RNAcentral describes it as "partial small subunit ribosomal RNA". The record is from RNAcentral. Lineage: Eukaryota; Viridiplantae; Streptophyta; Magnoliopsida; Poales; Poaceae.